GGGUGAGGACGACCUCACACCUUCAUGACACCGGUAGGGACGGCCCUG
Molecule: non-coding RNA, 48 nt
Filed under: Microvirga lotononidis
Lineage: Bacteria; Pseudomonadati; Pseudomonadota; Alphaproteobacteria; Hyphomicrobiales; Methylobacteriaceae
Description: Guanidine-II sequence
Rfam family: Guanidine-II riboswitch aptamer (mini-ykkC)
About the family: Simpler in structure and has fewer highly conserved nucleotide positions than the ykkC-yxkD leader. Despite this each of its two stem-loop structures directly bind free guanidine.
Source: RNAcentral